Molecule: long non-coding RNA, 733 nt
Organism: Lutra lutra (Eurasian river otter)
Lineage: Eukaryota; Metazoa; Chordata; Mammalia; Carnivora; Mustelidae
Exons: 3
Source: RefSeq, a predicted model, not a curated record
AAGACUGGAGGCCAGGAGGUCCAGGAUCAAGCAUAUGUUUUAGGAACCCUUGUAUACAUUGAAGAUAGCAUUAGUUGGAAUCACAGGACUGGAUUUGACCACCUCUUUGCAAGUUCUGUGGAGAUGUGUCUGGAAAGAUGAUGGGUCUGAAGUACAUCAGGAAUCUCUUCUAGGCAGAUUUCUUUGCAGAGACUGGGAUAUAAACAUCUAUCGUAUGGUGAAUCUGGACCAAUUCUGUCUUCGUAUCCUGAAGAGAAAGAGGAAGCUGACUACCCCUGGAGAUUUGAUGAGCCCAAUGAGGAAAAGCUAUACCUAAUGUCCAUUCACGUUUCACUGGCAUCUUGACCCAAACCUAAAUGCAAAGGUGGUUGGGAAAUGUAAUCUCCGUGUAUACCCAGGACGAGGAAAUGUAUCUGUGAGGAUCUGUUUUUGCCACCCUCAGGAAAGUAAGGGUGUCGGUCUGGAGUCUCUAUUAAGGCAACAGGAAUGUUGUAAUAUUCAUAAAAAUAGGACUGAGUACAGGAUCAUGCAGGAAAGCCUCAAGAGGACAAAACCAAACUUUUGUUAAUAAUGAAGAGAACAGUAACAUUUUUGUAAGGAGUGUGCAGAUUGUUAGAUUUCCUAUUUCCCUGACUUGUUCAUGUUGUAAGCAUGGGUUAAGCCCACAAAACAGCGAUGAACUGCGGUUCUGAGUAAUUUCUCCAGGAGAAAAUAAUCUCCUUUAUUUAGAAAA